Molecule: long non-coding RNA, 266 nt
Filed under: Brassica napus (rape)
Lineage: Eukaryota; Viridiplantae; Streptophyta; Magnoliopsida; Brassicales; Brassicaceae
Description: long non-coding RNA (BNAP_LNC018147)
Source: RNAcentral
GUGACACCCGUCACUUUCGAAAUAGUAAAAAUACUUCGAUAAAUACAAAUAUCUUAAAUAUCCAUAUAUAAAUAUUUGAAAGUCCACAUCCACGCAUGAAUUCCAUAAUAUAAAAUAAAAUCCGAAACAUAAGAUACGACAUAAACCGAGAAUCCAAAAUACGAAAUACCAUAACGAUAAAAGUCCAAAGGCCUAGAGGCCCGAUAACGAUAAAAUCGAUAAAACGAUAGAAGCCCAAAAGCCCAAUAGCACCGGUCCGAAAAAUC